CGAAAAAGAAAACAGAAGAGCGACCACUUCGCUGAUCUCGAGGGCUGUGUGCGUGUGCUCGUGUCGUCUUCUCCCCCUCCAUACCUCUUUCUUCGUGUAGCAUCCCCCCUCCCCGCGCACGCGCCGCUACUCUCCGUCUGUCUGCGAAUGUGUUGGAGCGCGCGCGCUCUCGCUAGCCGACUCCGACGUCAUGUUCACCCGCGUCGGCGCCUUUCUGGAGGCCAUCGACAAGAAGACGGAGGAGCUGGCCAAUGCCGCCGAUGAGGAGGACCUCGCGCGGGCGGCGGAACAGCAUCAGCAGCAGCAGCGGCAGCACAGCAGUAGCGGUGUGAGCAGAACCACGUCUUUGCAGCAGCAUCCUCAGCCACCGCUGCACCCUGCAAGGGGCCACGACAGCGGUGCUUGUCAUGAGAGCCGCCUCGGCGGGCUCCCGCGCGGCCGUGGCAAUGCCGCCGGUAGUAGCAGUGAUGACUUCCAGACCGCGGCGACCCCGCCCUCGGCCAUGAUCUCGUCGGCACAUCUUGCAUCUGACGAAGCGUACGCGGCAGGCCACGUGCCACUGUCGCUGCCCACAAAGUUACCCUCGUUCCGGCCAUCCUCGCAAGACCCGGCGAUGGAUGGCGGCAAAGGAGGUGCUGCCGCUGGAUGGAAGCAGCACCUGACUGCGUCCGCUGCGGCGAACCCGUUUGCCGGAAACUCUCUCGUCUCAAGCCAGGGUGAUGCAGCCAUCGUCUCGUCCGCUGCGCUCGGCGGUGGCGAGACACCUAUCCAUAACGCCAGCAUUGCGGAAGCCGCGGUGGAGCGACUCGAGGCGCGGUGCAAAGCCCUCGAAGCUGACAAGACGCGCUGGCAGCAAGAGGCCGCCACCCAUCGCGCUCAGUGCAGGGCAGCACGGGACGCCUUGUGGAAGGCGGAGCAGGAUACACGCGCGAGUCGCGCAGCUCAGCGUGCGGCUGAGCAGGCACUCGCGGUCUACAAGGAAACCUCGCAGCGGCUGUUGGACGAGGCGCAGCACGAGUUGAAGCAGGCGCGCGACGCCGCAGCGGGGCGGUCGUCAGCGACAGAACCACAACAGCAGACUGACGCGUCGCACGACGCACGGGAGCUGCAUCAGCGGCUGGAGCUGCUUCAGGCGGAUCACGCAUCGCUGAACACCGAGGUAGAGCGCUAUCGCCAGGAAGCGGCAAAGGCAACAGCGGAACUGCAGCACAUGCAGGAGAAGCACCGACAGGCACAGAUGCGCGUUGACAUGUUGCAGCUCGAGGUGGGCGCCACGCGCGAGUCGCUCGAGGGCGAAGUCGCGGCACACGCGGACACGCGAAGUGCCCUACGUCGUCUACAGACGCAGAAAGAUGAGCUAGUGAGAAGGGGCAGCAGCCCUUCCUCGUCCGCAGCAGUGGCACAGGGCACCGGCGAUGCGUGCCCCGCUGUCGAUGUGGGACCGCUCCAGAGAGAGCUGAAUGAGCUGAAGCAACGCCACCAACUUCUCACUCUUCAGGCAAGCAACCUACAGGCUGCCCUCGACGCCGCGGCGCGUGAGGCAACAGACAUGAAAGCACGGUACAACGAGCUCGCGAAGCACGUGAAUGAUGCGGAGGUGGAGAUGGCAGCUGGCUUCCGCGCGUCUGCCAUGUAUGGGGACGGCAACGGUCGCAGCUCUGUCUUCCCGGCGCCUCCGACGGCUUCCUCCAUGCGCGGCCACCGAGGCUCCAGCGCCGAUGGGAACGGGCUUGGCGGGCACAGUGCGGCGGCUGGCGCUCCUUGGGCACAUUAUGCUGGAACUGCAGCCACCACACCGGAGAGCAGCGGCGACGCCCGGCGCCGCAACCCGGCUAUGGUGCGUCUGGCACGUCAGUACGGUAUCGCCGGCCGCGCAGUUGUCGCAGUCGUCUCCUCCAUUGACAGCUUCGCCAUGCAGGUGGGCCGCGUCCUCACGCAGGCGCGUUGGGUGUGGCGUGUGGCGCUGAUGUGCUACAUCGGCCUCCUGCAGGUUUGGGUCGUCUUGAUGAUCAUUGGCACCCUCGCCCUGGAGGAAAGCGCGCAUGUGCGGGAGCCGGCGAAGGUUUCAGAGCCCCUGUAGGGCGGCACGUUUGUUUUCUGCUUGCUCUUUAGUUGUGUGGCUGCCUCCGCUUGUGGUCGCUCUGUUACCGACGCUUCGGAGGAGUAUCGAAAGAGGUGUUCCAUCCCCCACCAUCAUGAUGGUCACCGCCAACCAGCCAACCAUCCCUCAGCCUCACCCAACGUUUCAACGUGUCUGUCCGUAUCUCAGCCGCUGGAAACCGCACAUACGCAGGCGAGUGGUGAGGCGGCGGUGAAGAGGGCUGUGCACAACUACAUCCCUGUGUGUGUGUGUGUGUGUGUGUAUGCGCAAGGGGGAAAGAAACGACGCGGGUGCGCUGCUCGUAGCACGCGUCAACGGUACCAAGCGCACACCCACGCACACACACACAUGGGCACGAAUGCGCAUGUGCCAGUCGCUAUAAGCAACGCGACG
This 2494-nucleotide unclassified non-coding RNA is filed under the name Leishmania donovani. RNAcentral describes it as "gene:LdHU3.21.1620(CDS-product:hypothetical_prote in_conserved)". Lineage: Eukaryota; Euglenozoa; Kinetoplastea; Trypanosomatida; Trypanosomatidae. The record is from RNAcentral.